AUUGAACGCUGGCGGCAUGCUUUACACAUGCGAGUCGGACGGCAGCACAGAGAAGCUUGCCUCUUGGGUGGCGAGUGGCGAACGGGUGAGUAAUAUAUCGGAACGUACCGAGUAAUGGGGGAUAACUAAUCGAAAGAUUAGCUAAUACCGCAUAUUCUCUGAGGAGGAAAGCAGGUGACCUUCGGGCCUUGCGUUAUUCGAGCGUCCGAUAUCUGAUUAGUUAGUUGGUGGGGUAAAGGCCUACCAAGUCGACGAUCAGUAGCGGGUCUGAGAGGAUGAUCCGCCACACUGGAACUGAGACACGGCCCAGACUCCUACGGGAGGCAGCAGUGGGGAAUUUUGGACAAUGGGCGCAAGCAUGAUCCAGCCAUGCCGCGUGUCUGAAGAAGGCCUUCGGGUUGUAAAGGACUUUUGUCAGGGAAGAAAAGGCUGUUGCUAAUAUCAAUAGCUGAUGACGGUACCUGAAGAAUAAGCACCGGCUAACUACGUG
RNAcentral lists this ribosomal RNA (490 nucleotides) under uncultured bacterium. RNAcentral's name for it is "partial 16S ribosomal RNA". It matches the Rfam family "Bacterial small subunit ribosomal RNA", at positions 30 to 507 of the family's 1533-position model. The record is from RNAcentral.